UACGUAGGGCGCAAGCGUUGUCCGGAAUUAUUGGGCGUAAAGAGCUCGUAGGCGGUCUGUCGCGUCGGAUGUGAAAACUCGGGGCUUAACCCCGAGCCUGCAGUGGAUACGGGCAGACUAGAGGUAGGUAGGGGAGAAUGGAAUUCCCGGUGUAGCGGUGAAAUGCGCAGAUAUCGGGAGGAACACCGGUGGCGAAGGCGGUUCUCUGGGCCUUACCUGACGCUGAGGAGCGAAAGCGUGGGGAGCGAACAGG
RNAcentral lists this ribosomal RNA (253 nucleotides) under uncultured bacterium. RNAcentral's name for it is "partial 16S ribosomal RNA". It matches the Rfam family "Bacterial small subunit ribosomal RNA", at positions 524 to 776 of the family's 1533-position model. The record is from RNAcentral.